AAUUAAUGCAAAGUUUUACUGCUUUAUAGAUUGGUGGGGCUUUGACUAUGACUCCCCGGGUUUCCUGUCCGAUCGGCGGAAGUUUUUUGUGUUUAGACAUGCGCUGCCAAGCACUUGAAGUCCGCUUGGAGAUGGCUGCAUAAUUAGAUGCCGGGUUUUAAAUGUCAGUUCAAUAAGCCUCGAAGCUCAAGUGUAAUUAGAGCUCAAUGGGCCUCCGGCUUGGAGAAGGGUUUCGGGUCUCGGGUUUCGUUAUCGUGCAAACUCUUGAAAGGCGCUUAUUAGGCGCUGCUUACAAAGGGCAAAACUGCGCAGUUGUUCGAUUACACAAAAUGACUUAACUAUUUAAAUAAUAAACACGCUUCACGUUCUUCUUCAAUCAUCGAUUCGAAUUCCGAUUCUACAGUUGCAGUCGUAGUCGUCGUCGCCGUCUAUUUUGAAAGUCAAGCGUAGCCAAAGCGCCACAUCAUCAUCCUGCUCCCAACUGGCAGACAAAGGCGAGCCGAGUCCGAGACUUUCGAUGUUCUAAGCCAUAGAAUUAAGUUGGACUCGCAUUUAUGUGACAACAACAUGGCCUAACCUCCUGACGUCCCAUUCAGAUACAUUCAGAGUUAUUUUUUUGUUAUUCUGGCAGUUUUGGGAAUCCGCUUUAUAAAU
Molecule: long non-coding RNA, 654 nt
Organism: Drosophila serrata
Lineage: Eukaryota; Metazoa; Arthropoda; Insecta; Diptera; Drosophilidae
Source: RefSeq, a predicted model, not a curated record